UCUUCCGUAGUAUAGUGGUCAGUAUGUGAGCUUGUCAAUAUCCCAUAUUCUGGGAAUGCCUUCGCUCGAGACUGGGGUUCAAUUCCCGGCGGGAGAG
Immersiella caudata is the source of this 97-nucleotide non-coding RNA. The record is from the annotation of a GenBank genome assembly. NCBI's taxonomy places the organism in Eukaryota, Fungi, Ascomycota, Sordariomycetes, Sordariales, Lasiosphaeriaceae.